AUGGUGGACUGGAGGAGGCAGGGGACUUGGCCAAGCAGCAGUCACACACCCACUCACACACGCACACAUAUACUCUCUCACACAUAUACAUACACCCACUCACACAUACACUCACACAUAUACAUACACCCACUCACAAAUGCACACUCACACAUAUUUAUACACCUACUCACAUAUGCACACACAUACUCACACCCACAGCCACAUACACUCACACACACUCACACACACCCACUCACACCCACACCAAUAUACUCUCACACAUAUACAUACACCCAAUCACACAUAUACAUAUACCCACUCACACAUACACACACUUACACAUAUACAUACACCCACUCACACACAUACAUACACCCACUCACACAUACACACACUUACACAUAUACAUACACCCACUCACACAUAUACAUACACCCACUCACACAUACACACACUUACACAUAUACAUACACCCACUCACACAUAUACAUAUACCCACUCACAUAUGCACACACGUACACACAUACUCACUCCCACACACAGUCACACACACACACUUAUAUUCUCUCACACAUAUACAUACACCCACUCAUACACACACUCACACUCACACAUAUACAUACACCCAGUCACACACACACACUCUCACAUACACACACCCACAUACUCACUCACUCACACAUGCACACACACACACACAUACACCAGAGGCCUCUUACCCUUAACCAAGGCAGGAAUAGCACCGAAGAAGAGAGCGCAGAAAGGUGGGCAGAAAGCGAGGGGCGGAGGGUUUCUCCUGUUGAAGUAUGGAGGGGUUUGAUGGUGGAUCAAACUUUGCUGCAGACUUUGCUGGAGGAUUUUGUGGAAAAUACAGUACAAGCCCAGAUUCGUCUUUCAAGAAUCAUUCUUGAGGUUGGCACUGUGGCACAGUGGGUUAGGCCACCACUUGGGACAUACCGUAUCAGAGUGCCUUGUUCGAGGCCCAGCUACUCCAUACUUCCUGCAAAUACACCUGGGAGGCAGUGGAUCAUGGCCCAAGUCUUUGGGGCCCUGCCACCCAAGUGGGAAACCUCGAUGGAAUUCCUGGCUAUUGGUUUGGCCUGGCCCAGCCCUGGCUGUUGCAAGCAUUUGAGGAGCAUGGAGGAAGAGUUCUCUCUCUCUGCCUUUCAGAUAAAUAAAUAA
This 1164-nucleotide long non-coding RNA is filed under the name Oryctolagus cuniculus (rabbit). RNAcentral's name for it is "lncRNA (ENSOCUG00000034902.1)". The record is from RNAcentral. Lineage: Eukaryota; Metazoa; Chordata; Mammalia; Lagomorpha; Leporidae.